Molecule: ribosomal RNA, 500 nt
Filed under: uncultured Glomeromycotina
Lineage: Eukaryota; Fungi; Glomeromycota
Description: partial small subunit ribosomal RNA
Rfam family: Eukaryotic small subunit ribosomal RNA
Source: RNAcentral
CCAAUAGCGUAUAUUAAAGUUGUUGCAGUUAAAAAGCUCGUAGUUGAAUUUCGGGGCCAGUAGGUUGGUCGUGCCACUGGUAUGCACUGGUCUCACUGGUCCCUCCUUCUUGUAGAACCGUGAUGGCAUUAAUUUGUUGUUGCGGGGAAACAGGACUGUUACUUUGAAAAAAUUAGAGUGCUUAAAGCAGGCUCGCGCUUGAAUACAUUAUCAUGGAAUAACGAAAUAGGACGAUCGAACCUAUUUUGUUGGUUUCUAGGAUCGACGUAAUGAUUAAUAGGGAUAGUUGGGGGCAUUAGUAUUCAAUUGUCAGAGGUGAAAUUCUUGGAUUUAUUGAAGACUAACUACUGCGAAAGCAUUUGCCAAGGAUGUUUUCAUUAAUCAAGAACGAAAGUUAGGGGAUCGAAGACGAUCAGAUACCGUCGUAGUCUUAACCAUAAACUAUGCCGACUAGGGAUCGGAUGAAGUUAAUUUUUUAAUGACUCAUUCGGCGCCUUACG